Xenopus tropicalis (tropical clawed frog) is the source of this 436-nucleotide non-coding RNA. Lineage: Eukaryota; Metazoa; Chordata; Amphibia; Anura; Pipidae. The record is from the annotation of a RefSeq genome assembly.
UCCUACAAUGAUCUGGGCACCUGUUGUAACUAUGCUGUUGGCUUGCUGCGCGUAUGGAGCCUCUCAGCCGGCGCUAAAUCAGCCUCGCAUUGUUUCUGCCUCCCCUGAGCAGGAUAUUCAGCUCUCCUGCACUAUUAUUUCUGGUGAUAAGUUUGACAUAUACAGAGUGAUCUGGCUGCAGCAGAGUCUGGGCAAAGGUCCGCGGAUGGUGUAUCACUAUCGAACAGGUAGCACACAGGGCAGAGGGCCUGGAAUCUCUGAGAGGUUCUCAGUAACAGAUGAUGUACCCAACCGGCAAUGGAACCUAAUGAUUCAUACAGUGCAAAAGGAGGAUGAUGGGGAUUAUUACUGUACUUCAUGGGUUGAUAAUAAAAAUGGGUAUCACAGUAACAAAAUAAACUUCUGCAUUGAGCAAGAACUCUUCCUCUUUCUCUAA